This 505-nucleotide ribosomal RNA is filed under the name uncultured bacterium. Its description in RNAcentral is "partial 16S ribosomal RNA". It matches the Rfam family "Bacterial small subunit ribosomal RNA", at positions 28 to 507 of the family's 1533-position model. The record is from RNAcentral.
GACGAACGCUGGCGGCGUGCCUAAUACAUGCAAGUAGAACGCACAGUUUAUACCGUAGCUUGCUACACCAUAGACUGUGAGUUGCGAACGGGUGAGUAACGCGUAGGUAACCUGCCUGGUAGCGGGGGAUAACUAUUGGAAACGAUAGCUAAUACCGCAUAAUAUUGAUUAUUGCAUGAUAAUUGAUUGAAAGAUGCUAUUGCAUCACUACCAGAUGGACCUGCGUUGUAUUAGCUAGUAGGUGAGGUAACGGCUCACCUAGGCGACGAUACAUAGCCGACCUGAGAGGGUGAUCGGCCACACUGGGACGGAGACACGGCCCAGACUCCUACGGGGGGCAGCAGUAGGGAAUCUUCGGCAAUGGACGAAAGUCUGACCGAGCAACGCCGCGUGAGUGAAGAAGGUUGUCGGAUCGUAAAGAUCUGUUGUAAGAGAGGAACGGGUGUGAGAGUGGAAAGUUCACACUGUGACGGUAUCUUACCAGAAAGGGACGGCUAACUACGUG